Molecule: non-coding RNA, 3672 nt
Organism: Erythranthe guttata (spotted monkey flower)
Lineage: Eukaryota; Viridiplantae; Streptophyta; Magnoliopsida; Lamiales; Phrymaceae
Source: RefSeq, a predicted model, not a curated record
UAUAAAAGAAUCUAUUGGGUGAUUUCCCAAUUACGCUAUUUCCGUGAAAUCCAUUCUCAUUCAUCGCUAUCUACCGCCUCUCUUUCUCUCUCUAGAAUCACCGUCGCCGCUUUCCGAUUUCCCUUUUAUCUACGACUCCCUCCGAUUAUUUUCACCGGUAAGACCUUCGAUUUCUGAACUGUUGCACGCGAAAGCGCGAGAAAAAAAGGCAAGAUACCACCACACCCGUGUUAUCUUAUACGAUUUUUCAAUAUUCUGUCGAUUUUUUGAUUUGAUUUGAUUUUUAGUUUUAUGAUUUUUUGGGGUUGGGAAUAGAAUUGAAGCUUUUGAUUUUUCUUCUGAAUUUGGUGUUGUACCAGAUUCGUAUCUGAAUUCCGAUACCAAAAGCCAAUUAAAAAAGGAUUUUGCUUUGUUAAAUUAGGGUUUUCUGUGUGAUUUGAAAAAAAAGGUUGAUUAUUUGUGUGGGGAUUAAUCGAGUCUGGGGAAUUAAGGUUAAGCUUCCAAUAAAAACCUAGUUUUAGAAGAGUUCCGUCGGAUUAAAUUAAUGGCCGCUGGAAGGCAUGGGGGUUAUAGGGACCUCGAAUUGAGAGACCGUGAGGCUGAUUUUGUGAUCCCGAGGAAGGAAAUUGGGUAUUUGAAAGGAGACUAUGAUCGGAUUAGGAAAGGGGAUAGGGAGUACGAGAGGAGUCGAGGCCGGGGUAGAGGUAGUCUUGAUUACAGGAGUAGGGUAAGACAGAAGGAAAUUAAAGAAAGGGAGGUGAUGAAUGGUGGAUAUCGCUCUACGUCUAGUAAGAGUGAGCCUCAAAGGCGUGGGCUUGCAGUUCCCCCCAUGGAUCGAGAGCCUGGGGAGCUUUCUAGUGAUGGGUCUGAUGGCCCUAUAGAGGGGAACCAUGUUAUUAAAGAGACUGAGGUAAAAAGGUUAGAAAACGGGAGUCGUUUGUCUCCCGUGCAGAACAAGAAAAGGAAGUUUUCACCUAUUGUUUGGGAUAGAGACGAUAGGGUUGCUAGCCGAACAGUUAAAAGUAGGAAUUCCUUGGAAACUACAAGUCCGCCACCAUCAUCUCCACCUCCUUUGCCUGAAUCACGCCAAGAGUUUCCUGACACUAAUUCUAUUCUGGAUUCCGAUGUAAAAACCUCGCUGGCAGAUGCUAGCGAGGUUUAUAUUUCUGAACCAUCGCCUUCUAAAAUUGAUUUGUUACCUGAUUUGUCAGAAUUGCCCGCAGAAACAUCUUCUCUGCUGCAUCAAGAAGACCCCUGGGUCAAUAACCAGGAAACAGGGGAAAUUGAUGAUGACGAUGAUUAUGUGCCAGCACGAACUAUAAUAUCUUCUCGCUGGGCGAAUGAUGCUGACUGGCCAACUGACGAAGCUGAGAUUUCUGGAGACAAACGGAAGUUGAAGAGGAAGGCUGGUUCUGAGUUGGCUGAAGUAAGAGAAUUUAGGAAAUUAGAAAGUCCUGAGCUUGGGGAAGUCAAAAGAGAAGGUUCUGAAGGAAUUAGGGGUAGAUCCUCUGGGUCUGAUGAACGUGUCAGAUCAUCCAGUAGAGAUGGUCACCAUGAAAAUGAUGACAAGAGCGACUAUAUGCUGUUAGAUGAUGAUCAAACUAAUGAUGGUACUCUUGUUAGCCAUUCUGACACAGAAUCCGAUGACGAUUCUGGUUCUCGCGGUCCACCAGAACUCGCCCACCCACCGCCAAGGAGUGUCAAUAUGCUUAAGGGUUGCAGAAGUGUUGAUGAGUUCGAGAGAAUCAACAGGAUAGAUGAAGGUACAUAUGGGGUUGUUUAUAGGGCCAAGGAUAAGAAGACGGGAGAAAUUGUGGCUUUGAAGAAGGUCAAGAUGGAGAAAGAGAGGGAAGGGUUUCCUCUGACUUCUCUCAGGGAAAUGAACAUCCUUCUAUCUUUUCAUCACCCCUCCAUUGUAGAUGUUAAAGAAGUAGUGGUAGGGAGGGAUCUCAAUAGUAUUUUCAUGGUUAUGGAGUACAUGGAGCAUGAUCUCAAAGGAUUGAUGGAGGCAAUGGAACAGCCGUUUAGUCAAAGUGAAGUUAAAUGUCUUAUGCUCCAGCUCUUAGAGGGGAUCAAGUAUCUUCAUGACAACUGGGUAUUGCAUCGAGAUCUAAAAACUUCAAAUUUGCUUUUAAAUAACCGUGGCGAGUUAAAGAUCUGUGACUUCGGUCUGUCUCGUCAAUAUGGAAGCCCCCUAAAACCAUAUACUCAGUUGGUAGUUACUCUGUGGUACAGGUCACCAGAACUUCUUUUGGGAGGCAAAGAGUAUUCUACAGCGAUUGAUAUGUGGUCACUGGGAUGCAUUAUGGCUGAGUUUUUAUCAAAAGAACCUUUAUUUAAUGGGAAAACAGAAGUUGAACAGCUUGACAAGAUUUUCAAGAUUCUUGGCACUCCAAAUGAGACUAUCUGGCCUGGGCUCUCUAAACUCUCCGGUUCCAAGGUGAACUUCGUCAAGCAUAAGUACAACCUUUUGCGCAAGAAAUUUCCGGCAACUUCUUUUCAUGGGUCACCUGUACUAUCUGAGGCUGGAUUCGACCUGUUGAACAAGCUUCUAACAUAUGACCCCGACAAGCGGAUAACUGCUGAAGCGGCUCUCAGACAUGAAUGGUUCCGUGAAGUUCCCUUACCAAAGUCUAAGGAAUUCAUGCCUACUUUUCCUGCUCAGCAUGGACAAGACAGGCGUAUAAGGAGAGUAAGGAAGAGUCCUGAUCCAUUAGAAGAGCAGAGGAGGAAGGAAUUACAACAAGGAGAACUAGGCACUGGUGGUUUAUUUGGCCAGUAGUGUUCAAACUCUGUAUUCUUCUAUGGAUUGAGUGGAGGGAGCAUUCUUAGCAAUUCAUUAAUGGAUAGUUUGACGAAAAAGUAUAGCAUGCCUGGAGUAUCCGAGCAAGCAGGUAGAGGAGCUCACUUAGACAAGUCAGCCCUUAUAAAAUCCAAAUUAUUUUCCCGUUCUACGCUUUUGUCUGCCAAAGUUAUAGAGGAGUACUUCGGACUGUUAAAAGUCUCUCCCUUGCAGCUUACAAUUUUUUUGACCUGAAAUUGGAGGGUUAACCUGCCAUCCUCUUCUGUGCGACAGGUAACUGUGUAAUCGGGCUUUUGAUAUAUUUACGGCAGAGUAGUUAUUAAUUAAUUAUCACAUGAUCUGAUAGGUUUUAGAGUCUUUGCGGUGAUUGGAUGAAGUUUUUUUCCAAUUGCUUUCUUCUGCUGAAUUGUCGUCACCUGUACAUUAUUUGUCUUUACGUGCAAAUCAAACAUGGGCUAAUCUUUUUUAUUUGGAUUUGCAGUUGCAGUUGUAAUAUAUUAUGCAUUAUACGGCAAUUGCUAAUGACAUAAACAUUGAAAAUAAGUUGUGUUCUUGCGUGUUUCGUGCUUUCACACAUCUCCCUUGGACUAUUAGGUGCCGGCAUAAAGUUGUCUUUUUUCCAAAGGUAAUUCACUAUUUCUUUUCUAAUGCAUUGUUUAGUUGAUGCAUAUUUUUUUGUUCUGAAACUAUUUCUUUUGCUCUUAUAUUGAUUUGAGUGAACAACUGAUUUUGGCUUUGGACCAGUCGGCUCGCAGAGUUGGUUUGGUUCCGGAUUUCCUCCGAGACAAUUACUCUACUCUUGAUUAUUUCUAGGUUUUAUGAUUAAUCAAUUAUAUUCUUUCGUAUAUGGGAAUUAAUAGUUUUUUUUC